GUCCGGAUUUAUUGGGCGUAAAGAGCGUGUAGGCGGCCAGGUAGGUCUGCUGUGAAAACUCGAGGCUCAACCUCGAGACGUCGGCGGAAACCAUCUGGCUAGAGUCCGGAAGAGGAGAGUGGAAUUCCUGGUGUAGCGGUGAAAUGCGCAGAUAUCAGGAAGAACACCCGUGGCGAAGGCGGCUCUCUGGGACGGUACUGACGCUGAGACGCGAAAGCGUGGGGAGCGAACAGG
Molecule: ribosomal RNA, 234 nt
Filed under: uncultured bacterium
Lineage: Bacteria
Description: partial 16S ribosomal RNA
Rfam family: Bacterial small subunit ribosomal RNA
Source: RNAcentral